RNAcentral lists this ribosomal RNA (253 nucleotides) under uncultured bacterium. RNAcentral's name for it is "partial 16S ribosomal RNA". It matches the Rfam family "Bacterial small subunit ribosomal RNA", at positions 524 to 776 of the family's 1533-position model. The record is from RNAcentral.
UACGUAGGGGGCGAGCGUUGUCCGGAUUUAUUGGGCGUAAAGGGCGCGUAGGCGGCUUUUCAAGUGACGGGUGAAAUCCCUCGGCUUAACCGAGGAACUGCCUGUCAGACUGGAAGGCUUGAGACCGGGAGAGGUGAGUGGAAUUCCCAGUGUAGCGGUGAAAUGCGUAGAUAUUGGGAGGAACACCAGUGGCGAAGGCGGCUCACUGGACCGGAACUGACGCUGAGGCGCGAAAGCGUGGGGAGCAAACAGG